RNAcentral lists this ribosomal RNA (500 nucleotides) under uncultured bacterium. RNAcentral's name for it is "bacterial SSU rRNA". It matches the Rfam family "Bacterial small subunit ribosomal RNA", at positions 31 to 518 of the family's 1533-position model. The record is from RNAcentral.
GAACGCUAGCUACAGGCUUAACACAUGCAAGUCGAGGGGCAGCAUUGAGAUAGCUGCUAUUCAGAUGGCGACCGGCGCACGGGUGAGUAACGCGUAUCCCAACCUUCCCCUUAGUGGGGGAUAGCCCGGUGAAAAUCGGAUUAAUACCCUAUGUUGUUCGAAGCAGACAUCUAAAUGAACCAAAGGUUUACCGCUAAGGGGAUGGGGGAUGCGUCUGAUUAGGUAGUAGGCGGGGUAACGGCCCACCUAGCCGACGAUCAGUAGGGGUUCUGAGAGGAAGGUCCCCCCACAUUGGAACUGAGACACGGUCCAAACUCCUACGGGGAGGCAGCAGUGAGGAAUAUUGGUCAAUGGGCGCGAGCCUGAACCAGCCAAGUAGCGUGCAGGACGACGGCCCUAUGGGUUGUAAACUGCUUUUAUACAGGGAUAAAGUCACCUACGUGUAGGUGUUUGUAGGUACUGUAUGAAUAAGGACCGGCUAAUUCCGUGCCAGCCGCCGC